RNAcentral lists this signal recognition particle RNA (97 nucleotides) under Enterobacteriaceae endosymbiont of Macroplea appendiculata. RNAcentral's name for it is "Bacterial small signal recognition particle RNA". It matches the Rfam family "Bacterial small signal recognition particle RNA". Rfam says of the family: The signal recognition particle (SRP) is a universally conserved ribonucleoprotein involved in the co-translational targeting of proteins to membranes. Archaeal SRP consists of a 7S RNA and homologues of the eukaryotic SRP19 and SRP54 proteins. Lineage: Bacteria; Pseudomonadati; Pseudomonadota; Gammaproteobacteria; Enterobacterales; Enterobacteriaceae. RNAcentral also lists the same sequence under 1 other name. The record is from Rfam by way of RNAcentral.
GUAAUUAUUUUAAACAAUAUUAUUUUUACAAACCCAGUCAGGUCUGGAAAGAAGCAGCUGUAGUAAAAACAAUAUGUGUUAAAAGAAUAGUUGCGUU